GAUGAACGCUGGCGGCGCGCCUAACACAUGCAAGUCGAACGAUUAAAGCACCUUCGGGUGUGUAUAAAGUGGCGAACGGCUGAGUAGCACGUGGGCAACCUGCCCCUCUCAUUGGGAUAGCCACGGGAAACCGUGGAUAAUACCGAAUACUUCGGGACUUCCGCAUGGAAGACUCGAGAAAGCUCCGGCGGAGAGGGAUGGGCCCGCGGCCUGUUAGCUUGUUGGUGGGGUAAUGGCCUACCAAGGCAAUGAUGGGUAGCUGGGUUGAGAGACCGACCAGCCAGAUUGGGACUGAGGCACGGCCCAGACUCCUACGGGAGGCAGCAGUGGGGAAUCUUGCACAAUGGGCGAAAGCCUGAUGCAGCGACGCCGCGUGCGGGAUGAAGGCCUUCGGGUUGUAAACCGCUUUCAGCAGGGACGAGGCGAAAGUGACGGUACCUGCAGAAGAAGCCCCGGCUAACUACGUG
Molecule: ribosomal RNA, 467 nt
Filed under: uncultured bacterium
Lineage: Bacteria
Description: partial 16S ribosomal RNA
Rfam family: Bacterial small subunit ribosomal RNA
Source: RNAcentral